GCCUGGUUGGCUCAGUCGGUUGAGCGUCCGACUUCGGCUCAGGUCAUGAUCUCGUGGUUCGUGGGUUCGAGCCCCGCGUCGGGCU
Molecule: transfer RNA, 85 nt
Filed under: Felis catus (domestic cat)
Lineage: Eukaryota; Metazoa; Chordata; Mammalia; Carnivora; Felidae
Rfam family: tRNA
About the family: Transfer RNA (tRNA) molecules are approximately 80 nucleotides in length.
Source: Rfam by way of RNAcentral